Molecule: non-coding RNA, 23 nt
Filed under: Cricetulus griseus (Chinese hamster)
Lineage: Eukaryota; Metazoa; Chordata; Mammalia; Rodentia; Cricetidae
Source: RNAcentral
UCACUGAUUACUUGAUGACAGCA